This 272-nucleotide ribosomal RNA is filed under the name uncultured bacterium. Its description in RNAcentral is "partial 16S ribosomal RNA". It matches the Rfam family "Bacterial small subunit ribosomal RNA", at positions 524 to 796 of the family's 1533-position model. The record is from RNAcentral.
UACGGGGGGGGCUAGCGUUGUUCGGAAUUACUGGGCGUAAAGGGCGCGUAGGCGGCCUGCUAAGUCGGAUGUGAAAUCCCCCGGCUCAACCGGGGAACUGCAUCCGAUACUGGCGGGCUCGAAUCCGGGAGAGGGAUGUGGAAUUCCAGGUGUAGCGGUGAAAUGCGUAGAUAUCUGGAGGAACACCGGUGGCGAAGGCGGCAUCCUGGACCGGUAUUGACGCUGAGGCGCGAAAGCCAGGGGAGCAAACGGGAUUAGAAACCCGGUAGUCC